RNAcentral lists this unclassified non-coding RNA (352 nucleotides) under soil metagenome. RNAcentral's name for it is "partial contains 5.8S ribosomal RNA, internal transcribed spacer 2, and large subunit ribosomal RNA". The stretch from base 1 to 119 matches the Rfam family "5.8S ribosomal RNA", at positions 35 to 154 of the family's 154-position model. The record is from RNAcentral.
GAUGAAGAACGUAGCGAAAUGCGAUAAGUAAUGCGAAUUGCAGAAUCCGUGAGUCAUCGAAUCUUUGAACGCACAUUGCGCCCGCCAGUAUUCUGGCGGGCAUGCCUGUUCGAGCGUCAUUACAACCCUCAGGCCCCCGGGCCUGGCGUUGGGGAUCGGCGGAAGCCCCCUGCGGGCACAACGCCGUCCCCCAAAUACAGUGGCGGUCCCGCCGCAGCUUCCAUUGCGUAGUAGCUAACACCUCGCAACUGGAGAGCGGCGCGGCCACGCCGUAAAACACCCAACUUCUGAAUGUUGACCUCGAAUCAGGUAGGAAUACCCGCUGAACUUAAGCAUAUCAAUAAGCGGAGGA